CCUACGGGGGGCUGCAGUGGGGAAUAUUGGACAAUGGGGGCAACCCUGAUCCAGCCAUGCCGCGUGUGUGAAGAAGGCCCUCGGGUUGUAAAGCACUUUCAGUGAGGAAGAACGCCUGGUGGUUAAUACCCAUCAGGAAAGACAUCACUCACAGAAGAAGCACCGGCUAACUCCGUGCCAGCAGCCGCGGUAAUACGGAGGGUGCGAGCGUUAAUCGGAAUUACUGGGCGUAAAGCGCGCGUAGGUGGCUUGAUAAGCCGGUUGUGAAAGCCCCGGGCUCAACCUGGGAACGGCAUCCGGAACUGUCAAGCUAGAGUGCAGGAGAGGAAGGUAGAAUUCCCGGUGUAGCGGUGAAAUGCGUAGAGAUCGGGAGGAAUACCAGUGGUGAAGGCGGCCUUCUGGACUGACACUGACAUUGAGGUGCGAAAGCGUGGGUAGCAAACAGGAUUAGAUACCCUUGUAGUC
Molecule: ribosomal RNA, 465 nt
Filed under: Vreelandella stevensii
Lineage: Bacteria; Pseudomonadati; Pseudomonadota; Gammaproteobacteria; Oceanospirillales; Halomonadaceae
Description: partial 16S ribosomal RNA
Rfam family: Bacterial small subunit ribosomal RNA
Source: RNAcentral